This 307-nucleotide long non-coding RNA is filed under the name Ananas comosus (pineapple). RNAcentral's name for it is "long non-coding RNA (ACOM_LNC008318)". Lineage: Eukaryota; Viridiplantae; Streptophyta; Magnoliopsida; Poales; Bromeliaceae. The record is from RNAcentral.
AACACCGACUCAUGUCAAUAACUAAUUAUUAAUAGCUAUUUCUGUUGGAUCGUCGGCGCUAACCAUUAAUCCCAAAAGCUCAAGUUGUUAGAAAUACACAACCAAUUCACUUAAAGGACAGAUAUAGCGCCAAUGGGUCUCAAUUGUGACUCGACCCAAUCAGCCUCACGUCACUUUGAAUAUGACUCGGCCAACCAAACCUCACGUCAUUUUGAACAUAACUCAACCCAACACGACCUCCCGUCACAGAGCAGGAUGCUGGUCCAUUUAAACCAAUAAUUUCAAUAGCUAGAAACUGGAACGUGAC